This 357-nucleotide long non-coding RNA is filed under the name Arabidopsis lyrata. RNAcentral describes it as "long non-coding RNA (ALYR_LNC002436)". Lineage: Eukaryota; Viridiplantae; Streptophyta; Magnoliopsida; Brassicales; Brassicaceae. The record is from RNAcentral.
UCGUCUGGCGUCUCGCCGGUGACUCGCUGUUUCUCCGAUGUCAAAGCACAAGAAAAAGAAGGGAUCGUCCCGUCCUCGACCAAAAGUUCCUGGUACUUCUCAGUUCGCCCGCUUCUCGUCUGCUUCUGUGUCUCUCCCGACUCGAGGCGAUUCUUCGGGUUCAUCCGCCGCAGCUGCAAUUGGCUUCUCUUCCGAUGUCUCUGCCGCGGUUUCCUCAGCUCCUUCUCAAGCAAUUGGGUCGGAUGCUUGCUCUUCUCCUCCUGAUUUGGCUUCUCCAGAUCUGAAGACUCCUAUUGCUAUGCAAGUUGAUAUUUCUCUUCCUGGGAACUCUCUAGUUGGUACAAUCGGAACCUCUGU